Molecule: non-coding RNA, 63 nt
Filed under: Salmo salar (Atlantic salmon)
Lineage: Eukaryota; Metazoa; Chordata; Actinopteri; Salmoniformes; Salmonidae
Also listed under: 1 other name
Gene: ssa-mir-7a-2
Source: miRBase by way of RNAcentral
UGGAAGACUAGUGAUUUUGUUGUGAUGCUGAGCAAUGAGAACAACAAGUCCCAGUCUGCCUCU